This is a small nucleolar RNA of Centropristis striata (black sea bass), 130 nucleotides long. RefSeq annotates it as small nucleolar RNA SNORA49. The record is from RefSeq and is a predicted model, not a curated record. NCBI's taxonomy places the organism in Eukaryota, Metazoa, Chordata, Actinopteri, Perciformes, Serranidae. The transcript has a single exon.
CCUCCCUGUCUAACACCGGGACCUCCCAGUGUCAGUGCAGAGUUCUGGCUCAACAAGGGGACACACUGUGUUGCUCUCUUCCCUCCCUGCUGGAUUCUGUUCCUUGCAGGGCCUAAGAGAUGCAGACAUU